This 76-nucleotide transfer RNA is filed under the name Erysipelotrichaceae bacterium. RNAcentral's name for it is "tRNA-Lys". It matches the Rfam family "tRNA". Rfam says of the family: Transfer RNA (tRNA) molecules are approximately 80 nucleotides in length. Their secondary structure includes four short double-helical elements and three loops (D, anti-codon, and T loops). Further hydrogen bonds mediate the characteristic L-shaped molecular structure. tRNAs have two regions of fundamental functional importance: the anti-codon, which is responsible for specific mRNA codon recognition, and the 3' end, to which the tRNAs corresponding amino acid is attached (by aminoacyl-tRNA synthetases). tRNAs cope with the degeneracy of the genetic code in two manners: having more than one tRNA (with a specific anti-codon) for a particular amino acid; and 'wobble' base-pairing, i.e. permitting non-standard base-pairing at the 3rd anti-codon position. The record is from RNAcentral. Lineage: Bacteria; Bacillati; Bacillota; Erysipelotrichia; Erysipelotrichales; Erysipelotrichaceae.
GACCCGGUAGCUCAGGUGGUAGAGCAACUGACUUUUAAUCAGUGGGUCGAAGGUUCGAGUCCUUUCCGGGUCACCA